UGGGGAAUAUUGCACAAUGGGCGAAAGCCUGAUGCAGCGACGCCGCGUGCGGGAUGAAGGCCUUCGGGUUGUAAACCGCUUUUGAUUGGGGAGCAAGCGAGAGUGAGUGUACCUUUCGAAUAAGCACCGGCUAACUACGUGCCAGCAGCCGCGGUAAUACGUAGGGUGCAAGCGUUAUCCGGAAUUAUUGGGCGUAAAGAGCUCGUAGGCGGUUUGUCGCGUCUGGUGUGAAAGUCCAUCGCUUAACGGUGGAUCUGCGCCGGGUACGGGCAGGCUAGAGUGCGACAGGGGAGACUGGAAUUCCCGGUGUAACGGUGGAAUGUGUAGAUAUCGGGAAGAACACCAAUGGCGAAGGCAGGUCUCUGGGUCGUCACUGACGCUGAGGAGCGAAAGCGUGGGGAGCGAACAGGAUUAGAUACCCUGGUAGUCCACGCCGUAAACGGUGGAUGCUGGAUGUGGGGCCCCAUUCCACG
This 473-nucleotide ribosomal RNA is filed under the name uncultured bacterium. Its description in RNAcentral is "partial 16S ribosomal RNA". It matches the Rfam family "Bacterial small subunit ribosomal RNA", at positions 355 to 845 of the family's 1533-position model. The record is from RNAcentral.